UAAGGUGGCUUUUCUGAAGAUC
This 22-nucleotide microRNA is filed under the name Pristionchus pacificus. RNAcentral's name for it is "ppc-miR-2260". Lineage: Eukaryota; Metazoa; Nematoda; Chromadorea; Rhabditida; Neodiplogasteridae. The record is from miRBase by way of RNAcentral.